AACUGAGACCGGCUUUUUGGGAUUCGCUCCACCUUACGGUAUCGCAGCCCUCUGUACCGGCCAUUGUAGCAUGCGUGAAGCCCAAGACAUAAGGGGCAUGAUGAUUUGACGUCAUCCCCACCUUCCUCCGAGUUGACCCCGGCAGUCUCCCAUGAGUCCCCGGCAUAACCCGCUGGCAACAUAGGACGAGGGUUGCGCUCGUUGCGGGACUUAACCCAACAUCUCACGACACGAGCUGACGACAACCAUGCACCACCUGUGUACGAGUGUCCAAAGAGAACCCCGUCUCGGGGGCUUUCUCGUACAUGUCAAGCCUUGGUAAGGUUCUUCGCGUUGCAUCGAAUUAAUCCGCAUGCUCCGCCGCUUGUGCGGGCCCCCGUCAAUUCCUUUGAGUUUUAGCCUUGCGGCCGUACUCCCCAGGCGGGGCACUUAAUGCGUUAGCUGCGGCACGGAACUCGUGGAAUGAGCCCCACACCUAGUGCCCAACGUUUACGGCAUGGACUACCAGGGUAUCUAAUCCUGUUCGCUCCCCAUGCUUUCGCUCCUCAGCGUCAGUUGCGGCCCAGAGACCUGCCUUCGCCAUCGGUGUUCCUCCUGAUAUCUGCGCAUUCCACCGCUACACCAGGAAUUCCAGUCUCCCCUACCGCACUCUAGUCUGCCCGUACCCGAUGCAAGCCCGAGGUUGAGCCUCGGGAUUUCACACCAGACGCGACAGACCGCCUACGAGCUCUUUACGCCCAAUAAUUCCGGACAACGCUUGCGCCCUACGUAUUACCGCGGCUGCUGGCACGUAGUUAGCCGGCGCUUCUUCUGCAGGUACCGUCACUUGCGCUUCUUCCCUGCUGAAAGAGGUUUACAACCCGAAGGCCGUCAUCCCUCACGCGGCGUCGCUGCAUCAGGCUUGCGCCCAUUGUGCAAUAUUCCCCACUGCUGCCUCCCGUAGGAGUCUGGGCCGUGUCUCAGUCCCAGUGUGGCCGGUCGCCCUCUCAGGCCGGCUACCCGUCGACGCCUUGGUAGGCCAUCACCCCACCAACAAGCUGAUAGGCCGCGAGCCCAUCCCCCACCGAAAAACUUUCCAACCCACACCAUGCGAUGCGAGCUCAUAUCCGGUAUUAGACCCCGUUUCCAAGGCUUAUCCCGAAGUGGAGGGCAGGUUGCUCACGUGUUACUCACCCGUUCGCCACUGAUCCACCCAGCAAGCUGGGCUUCACCGUUCGACUUGCA
This 1224-nucleotide ribosomal RNA is filed under the name uncultured bacterium. Its description in RNAcentral is "partial 16S ribosomal RNA". The record is from RNAcentral.